RNAcentral lists this ribosomal RNA (194 nucleotides) under uncultured bacterium. Its description in RNAcentral is "partial 16S ribosomal RNA". It matches the Rfam family "Bacterial small subunit ribosomal RNA", at positions 338 to 524 of the family's 1533-position model. The record is from RNAcentral.
CCUACGGGAGGCAGCAGUGGGGAAUAUUGGACAAUGGGCGAAAGCCUGAUCCAGCCAUGCCGCGUGUGUGAAGAAGGCCCUCGGGUUGUAAAGCACUUUCAGCGAGGAAGAACGCCUAGUGGUUAAUACCCAUUAGGAAAGACAUCACUCGCAGAAGAAGCACCGGCUAACUCCGUGCCAGCAGCCGCGGUAAU